Long non-coding RNA from Globicephala melas (long-finned pilot whale), 2363 nucleotides. RefSeq lists it as uncharacterized. Lineage: Eukaryota; Metazoa; Chordata; Mammalia; Artiodactyla; Delphinidae. The record is from RefSeq and is a predicted model, not a curated record.
AGAAGACGGAGAACUCACACCUGCCCAUAACGGUUCUGGACUGAAAGAGUCAUGUGUCCUCCCCCCAGAGUCCUCGGCCAGCACUGUUUCUGUAGCCCCAUCCCAGCUGCAGGGGAACACAGGUACCUAGGGACACACAGGUAGCAUGAAUUUGUGCCUUAAAACUGUAAGAGGACCUGGUGGUGUUGGAAAUUUUCAGUGAAACUUUACCUAACCACCUGCUUCCAGCCAGAGCCAAGGCUGCUAGAUUAGAUUCCACUUGAAUCGCCUUCCACCAAGGGUUCUGGACUCUCACAUCUCCUCAUAUCUUACACGCUUGCCUUGCAAACCACCGAACGGAGGCUGUUAGGUGUUAACCUUACCUUGGGUGCCACCGAAACGGAGAAAUGGAGUCUCCACCUUCAAUGGGGCUGGCAAGCUCCUCCCCUCUGGAGCAGGAGACGCCCUCACAUUCCGCCGGACCGGAAGCCGUCUUCCCGUCCCGCCCACACGCUCAGCUGCGCGUGCGCACACCUGGUUUCCUUCCCACCGAGUCAGAGGCCGCGACGUCCCUGUGUGCCUCACGGGAGCCCGUGUCUGCGGGCUCCGCUCUCUCCCUGGGCCACCGCCUCGUCAACUGCACGUGAAUAGGCUCACGUCUCCGAAGUAAAGCAAAACCUGUGCACACGCCUUCUCUCCAGAUACCAGGCCAGCUUCCCUUUCGGUUGCCAGCUGCUGGAAAGCGUCGUGUUCCCUGCCUCCCGAGUCCCUGGCCUCGGCGACCCCGGGCUGGGGGCCACGAGGGCCCGCCGCCCUGCUGCUGCUGAGGCUGAGGCUGGAACCGCCGGUCCACGGUCCGCGGGGCGGGCAAGGCUGUCCUGCCGUCUGGAGCGCUCAGUGCCACUGGCGUUCCACCAAGGUAACGCUCCCCAUCUUUCUAGAAGAGUAACUCCAGCGUUUUCACUUCUUGGGAUUUUUAAAAAUUACAGCCACUCUAUCCAGAACACAUUAAACGAUGCACAAAUUGAUGAGGAAAAAGUGAGCAUUCUCGCUCGCCCGAUGUGAAGCUUUCCGCGUGAGGAAGCUUCCGCGCUGUCUCCGGCCGCAGAAACACACGCGGUGAGAGGGUGUCUCCUCCUCCCUCCCUCCCUUUGUCAGCUUCCUUUCAUUAGAGGUAAAUGUUUUGUUCCUCUGAGUUGUUAGGGGGGAACACGUCCUCCCCCUCGCGAUGGAUGGUUCAGUCCGUGCGAGGGGUGUGAACCUUCUCUACUCUUCCCCGUGGCUUCUCUGCCCACGUGACCUGAUAGAAUGAGGAGACUUCAGCUGGUCCUUGCGCAUCUUCUCCCCCUUCCCUCGUGGGGAGGGGUCUGCGCUGGGGCAGCACUGCUCUGGCCGGUCACGUGUUGUAGGAUUCGCAUAUCCAGUAUUAGGAGGACAUUCUUCUCUGACGCUAGACUGUGUCUGCCACCAGACCUGCUGGUCCAGCCAAAGGUGGUGUUUGGUGCCCUUCUGCCUUACUUUUUGUCAUAUAUCUCAGUUUGCUCAGAAUUCAAGUCAGAAAGGGGGCGAGAUAACAUUUAUUCAGACAUAUGUUAAUGAAAACUUAAUAGUCAAUCUAUGAAAGAAAAGGAAACUUUUAUUUGAGACAAAUUGGAGGAUUAUAACUGGGGAACAACCCCUCAGAAACCUCCAAGAGCUGUUCUGUCUGUUAGAAGUCGAAACACAGUUACAUAAAAUUUUUGAGACAGAGACAUUAGAUGACGUAUUAUUGACAGUUCACACAAUCCAGAUCUGUAAGUACAAAGUAUUGGGUCAUCCUGACCCCUGACAAGAUCAGGAAGGAACGUUAUCUGUAAGGAGUUGUCUUGUUGGUGCGAGCAGGUAUUUCUGCCAGCGGGGGAGUUUUUUUCGAUGCAUAAGGCAGAUACAAAAUGCACAGUGGGGGGAGAGAGGAGGCCAAAGGGCAGAGAAAAAUUGUUUUAUGUUUAAAUUUUUCUUGCUAUAGAAUGUGAACUUUAUUUUACACAUUUCUACAUUUAAUGAAUUGUCCUUUUUUAUCCGUGAGGGUAGCCCUUUGUAUAUUGGGUAUAAUUCUAUUAGGUAUAAUUCUAUCUCAUGUACCUCAGAGUAUAUUAUUUGUCAUGACUUUGUUAAUGGUUUUUCUCCCUUUACAUAAGUGUCUAAUUGCUGUGUCGUCAAAUAUGUUGGCCUUUUCUUUUUUGGCCUCUCCCACACAAAAGUUACACAUUCUCCUAAAUUUUCUUUUAGCAUUUCAGUGUUUAUAUUUUGAUCUUUAAUAUAUCUGAAGCUUACUUUUGCACAUAGUUUGAAGUAGGGGGUCCAGUUUUUUAGUUUUUCCAGAUGAAUAGUCAAUUAUGCCAGCA